GAUGAACGCUGGCGGCGUGCCUAAUACAUGCAAGUCGAGCGAACAGACGAGGAGCUUGCUCCUCUGACGUUAGCGGCGGACGGGUGAGUAACACGUGGAUAACCUACCUAUAAGACUGGGAUAACUUCGGGAAACCGGAGCUAAUACCGGAUAAUAUAUUGAACCGCAUGGUUCAAUAGUGAAAGACGGUUUUGCUGUCACUUAUAGAUGGAUCCGCGCCGCAUUAGCUAGUUGGUAAGGUAACGGCUUACCAAGGCAACGAUGCGUAGCCGACCUGAGAGGGUGAUCGGCCACACUGGACCUGAGACACGGUCCAGACUCCCACGGGAGGCAGCAGUAGGGAAUCUUCCGCAAUGGGCGAAAGCCUGACGGAGCAACGCCGCGUGAGUGAUGAAGGUCUUCGGAUCGUAAAACUCUGUUAUUAGGGAAGAACAAAUGUGUAAGUAACUAUGCACGUCUUGACGGUACCUAAUCAGAAAGCCACGGCUAACUACGUG
Molecule: ribosomal RNA, 497 nt
Filed under: uncultured bacterium
Lineage: Bacteria
Description: partial 16S ribosomal RNA
Rfam family: Bacterial small subunit ribosomal RNA
Source: RNAcentral